GGGGGUAUAGCUCAGUAGGAGAGCGUGUGCUUGGCAUGCACGACAUCCUGGGUUCAAUCCCCAGUAUCUCCG
Molecule: transfer RNA, 72 nt
Filed under: Camelus bactrianus (Bactrian camel)
Lineage: Eukaryota; Metazoa; Chordata; Mammalia; Artiodactyla; Camelidae
Also listed under: 2 other names
Rfam family: tRNA
About the family: Transfer RNA (tRNA) molecules are approximately 80 nucleotides in length. Their secondary structure includes four short double-helical elements and three loops (D, anti-codon, and T loops).
Source: Rfam by way of RNAcentral